UGGUGACAGAUCGCCAUGGGCAAGUGUCUACCUAUAUGGCAAAUGAACGACCGCAAGAUGAACAUUGCUAUGAUGUGUGGCAUGUAGCAAAAGGAGAGAAGAAAAGAUUGACAAAGCUUGCCAAGAAAAAGAAAUUCAAAUUGAUUGGGCCAUGGAUUGGUUCAAUUAUAAACCACAUCUACUGGGGUAGGAACUCCAGUGAAACUGCUGAUGAGCGAGAGGAGAAAUGGCGCAGUAUCCUCAAUCACAUUGC
This is a long non-coding RNA of Dendronephthya gigantea, 253 nucleotides long. RefSeq lists it as uncharacterized. Lineage: Eukaryota; Metazoa; Cnidaria; Anthozoa; Malacalcyonacea; Nephtheidae. The transcript is spliced from 3 exons. The record is from RefSeq and is a predicted model, not a curated record.